This 253-nucleotide ribosomal RNA is filed under the name uncultured bacterium. Its description in RNAcentral is "partial 16S ribosomal RNA". It matches the Rfam family "Bacterial small subunit ribosomal RNA", at positions 524 to 776 of the family's 1533-position model. The record is from RNAcentral.
UACGGAGGAUCCAAGCGUUAUCCGGAAUCAUUGGGUUUAAAGGGUCCGUAGGCGGCCCUGUAAGUCAGUGGUGAAAUCUCCCGGCUCAACCGGGAAAUUGCCAUUGAUACUGCAGGGCUUGAAUUACUGGGAAGUAACUAGAAUAUGUAGUGUAGCGGUGAAAUGCUUAGAGAUUACAUGGAAUACCAAUUGCGAAGGCAGGUUACUACCAGUGGAUUGACGCUGAUGGACGAAAGCGUGGGUAGCGAACAGG